RNAcentral lists this ribosomal RNA (95 nucleotides) under Escherichia coli. RNAcentral describes it as "partial 16S ribosomal RNA". It matches the Rfam family "Bacterial small subunit ribosomal RNA", at positions 1441 to 1533 of the family's 1533-position model. The record is from RNAcentral. Lineage: Bacteria; Pseudomonadati; Pseudomonadota; Gammaproteobacteria; Enterobacterales; Enterobacteriaceae.
GCAAAGAGGGCGGUUACCACGGUGUGGCCGAUGACUGGGGUGAAGUCGUAACAAGGUAGCCGUAGGGGAACCUGCGGCUGGAUCACCUCCUUAAC